CCGAACCCCACCGAACGCGUCCGCCGCCUCCCGAUCCCGCCCCGCGGUCCCCCCCGGGGCAUGAACCGCCCCCCGGCGGGCCGAAACCGGCCAAACCGGCAAAACCGCCCCGAUCAUGCCCGUUUUUCGGCGUUCAAACCGCCGCGCGGCUACCCCCCCAUCCCGAUGCCCCCGGACCCCUGGUCCCGUGGGACCUGACGGAAACGGAGUCGGAUGCCCGGAUCAUGAGAUACGCCCAAAACCGUCUAAACCUACUGAGCGCACCCCGAACAUGCCCAUUUUUCGGCGUCCAAACCGCCGCGCGGCUACCCCCCCAUCCCGAUGCCCCCGGAACCCUGGUCCCGCGGGACCCGACGGAAACGGAAUCGGAGGCCCGGAUCAUGAGUUACGGCCCCUUCUUUGCGGCCCCCGAGGACGUGCGCUAUAGCCCCCCGGGCCACCCCCCAUCCGGCCGCACCCGCCCGAACCCCACCGAAUGCGUCCGCCGCCUCCCGAUCCCGCCCCGCGGUCCCCCCCGGGGCAUGAACCGCCCCCCGGCGGGCCGAAACCGGCCAAACCGGCUAAACCGCCCCGAUCAUGCCCAUUUUUCGGCGUUCAAACCGCCGUACGGCUACCCCCCCCAUCCCGAUGCCCCCGGACCCCUGGUCCCGUGGGACCUGACGGAAACGGAAUCGGAUGCUCGGAUCAUGAGAUACGCCCAAAACCGUCUAAACCUACUGAGCGCACCCCGAACAUGCCCAUUUUUCGGCGUUCAAACCGCCGCGCGGCUACCCCCCCAUCCCGAUGCCCCCGGAACCCUGGUCCCGCGGGACCCGACGGAAACGGAAUCGGAGGCCCGGAUCAUGAGUUACGGCCCCUUCUUUGCGGCCCCCGAGGACGUGCGCUAUAGCCCCCCGGGCCACCCCCCAUCCGGCCGCACCCGCCCGAACCCCACCGAACGCGUCCGCCGCCUCCCGAUCCCGCACUGCGGUCCUCCCCGGGGCAUGAACCGCCCCCCGACGGGCCGAAACCGGCCAAACCGGCUAAACCGCCCCGAUCAUGCCCAUUUUUCGGCGUUCAAACCGCCGCACUGCUACCCCCCCAUCCCGAUGCCCCCGGACCCCUGGUCCCGUGGGACCUGACGGAAACGGAAUCGGAUGCUCGGAUCAUGAGAUACGCCCAAAACCGUCUAAACCUACUGAGCGCACCCCGAACAUGCCCAUUUUUCGGCGUUCAAACCGCCGCGCGGCUACCCCCCCAUCCCGAUGCCCCCGGAACCCUGGUCCCGCGGGACCCGACGGAAACGGAAUCGGAGGCCCGGAUCAUGAGUUACGGCCCCUUCUUUGCGGCCCCCGAGGACGUGCGCUAUAGCCCCCCGGGCCACCCCCCAUCCGGCCGCACCCGCCCGAACCCCACCGAACGCGUCCGCCGCCUCCCGAUCCCGCCCCGCGGUCCCCCCCGGGGCAUGAACCGCCCCCCGGCGGGCCGAAACCGGCCAAACCGGCUAAACCGCCCCGAUCAUGCCCAUUUUUCGCCGUUCAAACCGCCGCACGGUUACCCCCCCAUCCCGAUGCCCCCCGACCCCUGGUCCCGUGGGACCUGACGGAAACGGAAUCGGAUGCUCGGAUCAUGAGAUACGCCCAAAACCGUCUAAACCUACUGAGCGCACCCCGAACAUGCCCAUUUUUCGGCGUUCAAACCGCCGCGCGGCUACCCCCCCAUCCCGAUGCCCCCGGAACCUUGGUCCCGUGGGACCUGACGGAAACGGAAUCGGAUGCUCGGAUCAUGAGAUACGCCCAAAACCGUCUAAACCUACUGAGCGCACCCCGAACAUGCCCAUUUUUCGGCGUUCAAACCGCCGCGCGGCUACCCCCCCAUCCCGAUGCCCCCGGAAACCCUGGUCCCGCGGGACCCGACGGAAACGGAAUCGGAGGCCCGGAUCAUGAGUUACGGCCCCUUCUUUGCGGCCCCCGAGGACGUGCGCUAUAGCGAGGACGUGCGCUCCCCCAUCCGGCCGCACCCGCCCGAACCCCACCGAACGCGUCCGCCGCCUCCCGAUCCCGCCCCGCGGUCCCCCCCGGGGCAUGAACCGGCCCCCGGCGGGCCGAAACCGGCCAAACCGGCUAAACCGCCCCGAUCAUGCCCAUUUUUCGGCGUUCAAACCGCCGCACGGCUACCCCCCCAUCCCGAUGCCCCCGGACCCCUGGUCCCGUGGGACCUGACGGAAACGGAAUCAGAUGCUCGGAUCAUGAGAUACGCCCAAAACCAUCUAAACCUACUGAGCGCACCCCGAACAUGCCCAUUUUUCGGCGUUCAAACCGCCGCGCGGCUACCCCCCCAUCCCGAUGCCCCCGGAACCCUGGUCCC
RNAcentral lists this long non-coding RNA (2346 nucleotides) under Citrus x clementina. RNAcentral's name for it is "Citrus clementina (C. clementina) long non-coding RNA (CCLE_LNC001210)". The record is from RNAcentral. Lineage: Eukaryota; Viridiplantae; Streptophyta; Magnoliopsida; Sapindales; Rutaceae.